GCGGCCUCACCGUUCAUCGCUUUGCUGACGUAUGGAAAGUGUGUAGAAAUGGAAAGUAAAUAGAAGCCAGAGUGGGAAAUCGAAACUAGCUGCUGUGAAGUCACUGCUCGAGGCAGAGGACAAGAGCCAGGCGGAGGACAGUCGGAGGGAUAGAGGAAGGAAAACAAAAAACAGAAUUACCUGGAAAAACUCAGCAGGUCUGGCAGCAUCGGCGGAGAAGAAAAGAGUUUACGUUUCGAGUCCUUAUGACCCUUCGACAGAACUAGAGCAGAACUGAUAGGGGAAGGGUUGUGGUCUCUGACCGACAGCUGCCAUGGGUUGCUGCUGGAGCGACCUGUUUGGAGAUCCUUCCUCGGCCACCCCCCAGUCUAUUGUUUAUUCUGUAGGUCGGUCCCAUCCUCCCGGCUCAGCGCAUGGUCAUUACAGGAACGUCGCUAGUGAGGAGGAGAGUGAAGAGGAGGAGGAGGAGGAGGAGGAGGGCAGCGGCUACGGUCAUGUAGAGGAGAGCAGCAAAGAUGACGAGCGCCAGUUCUUCCUGACUUUCCUCACGGUGCUGGACCGCCGCCAGCCCUACCACGGGACGCUGCAGCGCUGGAAGAACGAGGUACAUUGGGCGGGGGAGGAGGGCAGCCACAUCCUGAGGUGGGACUACAUCUGGCGUGAGGACGGCGUCGGCUACCUCAGGACCCUCGACCGGGUGUCGCAGUUGGCGGAGCUGAACCAGUUCACCACGGCGGACUUGGGCCGGCUGGUGUUUUUGGCGAAGAGGGUGGUGAAACAGAGGAAGGGGGAAUAUUAUCAUGCCAGGAGCCUGGGCAGAGCCAACUGGAGGCACGAAAAGGUGUUGAAAGGCUGGACUGAGUUGUUGGAUGUCCUUGAAGGUUUAAUUAAUUGAGACAGAGAGGCGUUAGCGUGAUGAAACUUCCAGCGGUGGGGACAACCCGCCCAGCCCCCAGCCUCACCAAGAUCCUCUACAGGGGUGUUUCUAAAGUCCUCGCGAAGCGCUUCCGCAUACCAAGGGGUGACAGAGGAUCUGUCACUCAUUUUAAAUCAGAGACUGAUAGAUUUCUUUGUCGACCAAAGGUCUUAAGGGACAUGAGGGGAGGGGGCGAAUGUGAACAUGUAGGUCGCAGUGCAGAGCUGUCCAUGACCAAGUGUUGAAGACUGGCACAUUCCAAGGUCCAGGACUGCAUGCUGAGGGACGCAUUAAAGCUUGGGGUAGCUGCCACAGAGGCCCAAUGAGGAAAGGUCACUGUCUAAGAUCUUUUAGUCAUAGUGUACCAAGGGGCUGGGAAUUGUAUAGGCCCCUCGGGCUCUAUGACUCACAUUGAAUGUAUGCAGUGAAUACUACAUGUAUCACAAUCAUAUUCAAGCACCUCAGAGUGUAACAUAACCUAAAACAAAAACAGAAUUACCUGGAAAAACUCAGCAGGUCUGGCAGCAUCGGCGGAGAAGAAAAGAUUUGACGUUUCGAGUCCUCGUGACCCUUCAACAGAACUAUGUAGAUAAUUUGAAUAUCAUUGCACCUUCUGUGAUGAGCGUUUUGAAAUGUUUUGUGAUGUUCUUUUGGAAAUUUUAUGAAUAAAGUACGUUGUUCGCAAAAAAAAAUGUCAAACUUGCAGCCUGAGGGGUUUUACCUGGUUUCCAGCCCCCUGGGGUGUUCUAUGGCUGUACUAUGGCAGUUUUGCUAGUGUUUAAUUACAGUGAGACUACAGAAUUACCUUUAUACUCUCAGCUGUACAUUCUCUUAAGGAACACGGUCCAUUAAUUACUUGCCAUUCAACUUGCUAGGUAACACGUGUAAUUGUUCCUAAUAAUUAAUUGUUUGUAUUCUUGGUGUUGGGAUUUUGUAGUCAAUAAAUAGUUUCUCAUGCUC
Molecule: RNA transcript, 1876 nt
Organism: Carcharodon carcharias (great white shark)
Lineage: Eukaryota; Metazoa; Chordata; Chondrichthyes; Lamniformes; Lamnidae
Exons: 2
Source: RefSeq, a predicted model, not a curated record